Molecule: ribosomal RNA, 253 nt
Filed under: uncultured bacterium
Lineage: Bacteria
Description: partial 16S ribosomal RNA
Rfam family: Bacterial small subunit ribosomal RNA
Source: RNAcentral
UACGAAGGGGGCUAGCGUUGCUCGGAAUCACUGGGCGUAAAGCGCACGUAGGCGGCUUCUUAAGUCAGGGGUGAAAUCCUGGAGCUCAACUCCAGAACUGCCUUUGAUACUGGGAAGCUUGAGUCCGGGAGAGGUGAGUGGAACUGCGAGUGUAGAGGUGAAAUUCGUAGAUAUUCGCAAGAACACCAGUGGCGAAGGCGGCUCACUGGCCCGGUACUGACGCUGAGGUGCGAAAGCGUGGGGAGCAAACGGG